GGGGGUAUAGCUCAGGGGUAGAGCAUUUGACUGCAGAUCAAGAGGUCCCUGGUUCAAAUCUAGGUGCCCCCU
Non-coding RNA from Sciurus carolinensis (gray squirrel), 72 nucleotides. NCBI's taxonomy places the organism in Eukaryota, Metazoa, Chordata, Mammalia, Rodentia, Sciuridae. The record is from the annotation of a RefSeq genome assembly.